Molecule: ribosomal RNA, 280 nt
Filed under: Rhipicephalus afranicus
Lineage: Eukaryota; Metazoa; Arthropoda; Arachnida; Ixodida; Ixodidae
Description: partial large subunit ribosomal RNA
Source: RNAcentral
ACAAAGGUAUUGAAAUAAGAUUUUAAUUGAAUGCUAAGAGAAUGGAAGUCCAGAAAAAAACUUUUUUUAAAUUAAAAAUUGAAAUUUUUUUAAUUUGUGCAGAGACAAUUAUUCAUAUUAAGGACAAGAAGACCCUAUGAAUUUAUUAAAUUUUUAUUUAAUAUGUAAUUACUAUUGAAAAAAUUUUGGCUGGGGCGGCUAAAAAAUAUUAUAAACUUUUUAAAAAUAAAAUGAUCCAUUAUUAAUGAUUCUAUGUUAAAUACUCUAGGGAUAACAGCGU